GCGGGUGUGGCGGAAUGGUAAACGCAUCAGCCUUAGGAGCUGACGCCUAAAGCUUGUAGGUUCGAAUCCUAUCACCCGCACCA
Molecule: transfer RNA, 83 nt
Filed under: Desulfomicrobium sp.
Lineage: Bacteria; Pseudomonadati; Thermodesulfobacteriota; Desulfovibrionia; Desulfovibrionales; Desulfomicrobiaceae
Also listed under: 1 other name
Description: tRNA-Leu
Rfam family: tRNA
About the family: Transfer RNA (tRNA) molecules are approximately 80 nucleotides in length. Their secondary structure includes four short double-helical elements and three loops (D, anti-codon, and T loops).
Source: RNAcentral